This 253-nucleotide ribosomal RNA is filed under the name uncultured bacterium. RNAcentral's name for it is "partial 16S ribosomal RNA". It matches the Rfam family "Bacterial small subunit ribosomal RNA", at positions 524 to 776 of the family's 1533-position model. The record is from RNAcentral.
UACGUAGGCAGCGAGCGUUGUUCGGAAUUACUGGGCGUAAAGAGUGUGUAGGCGGUGCUCCAAGUCUGUUGUGAAAUCUCCCGGCUUAACUGGGAGGGUGCAGCGGAAACUAGAGUGCUAGAGGGUGGGAGAGGUAAGCGGAAUUCCUGGUGUAGCGGUGAAAUGCGUAGAUAUCAGGAGGAACACCUGUGGUGUAGACAGCUUACUGGACCACUUCUGACGCUGAGACACGAAAGCGUGGGUAGCAAACAGG